Molecule: ribosomal RNA, 460 nt
Filed under: uncultured bacterium
Lineage: Bacteria
Description: partial 16S ribosomal RNA
Rfam family: Bacterial small subunit ribosomal RNA
Source: RNAcentral
CCUACGGGUGGCUGCAGUGAGGAAUAUUGGUCAAUGGACGCAAGUCUGAACCAGCCAUGCCGCGUGCAGGAUGACGGCUCUAUGAGUUGUAAACUGCUUUUGUACGAGGGUAAACCCAGAUACGUGUAUCGGGUUGAAAGUAUCGUACGAAUAAGGAUCGGCUACCUCCGUGCAAGCAGCCGCGGUAAUACGGAGGAUCCGAGCGUUAUCCGGAUUUAUUGGGUUUAAAGGGUGCGUAGGCGGUUUGAUAUGUUAGAGGUGAAAUGUCGGGGCUCAACCCCGAGACGGCCUCUACUACUGUGAGACUAGAGAAUAGUUGCGGAAGGCGGAAUGUAUGGUGUAGCGGUGAAAUGCUUAGAUAUCAUACAGAACACCGAUUGCGAAGGCAGCUUACCAAACUAUAUCUGACGUUGAGGCACGAAAGCGUGGGUAGCGAACAGGAUUAGAUACCCGAGUAGUC